CCUACGGGUGGCAGCAGUGGGGAAUAUUGGGCAAUGGACGCAAGCCUGACCCAGCAACGCCGCGUGAAGGAAGACGGCUUUCGGGUUGUUAACUUCUUUUCUCAGGGACGAAGAAAGUGACGGUACCUGAGGAAUAAGCCACGGCUAACUACGUGCCAGCAGCCGCGGUAAUACGUAGGUGGCAAGCGUUAUCCGGAUUCAUUGGGUGUACAGGGCGUGUAGGCGGGAGCGUAAGUCAGAUGUGAAAACUCAGGGCUCAACCCUGGGACUGCAUUUGAUACUGUGUGUCUUGAGUGCUGGAGAGGCAAGCGGAAUGCAGGGUGUAGCGGUGAAAUGCGUAGAUAUA
Molecule: ribosomal RNA, 346 nt
Filed under: uncultured bacterium
Lineage: Bacteria
Description: partial 16S ribosomal RNA
Rfam family: Bacterial small subunit ribosomal RNA
Source: RNAcentral